GUCAGAAAGACUAAAUUAGGUCAUAAUAAUGGCUGCUGCCAGUGUCUCAGUCCCUGGAGGGGUGGGCCCGGCUGCCUCCUGCCUCUCCAAGAUGUCCUUAAGCUUAGCCUUUCACUGUCUUUUGUGUGGAUUGUUGCAUCAUUACUAGCUCACCUUUCCCCAGUAACCACAACAAUCAAAUCAGACUAGAAAGAAGGGAUGUAGACUGUUUUAUAAUUGACCUGGACUAACUGAAGACACAUAUUGGACAAUGAAAGUGUUCUGCAUCCUCCUUGGAUAUACUGCUUGGCUGUCUCCAUCCCAUAUUUGAGUGAUCCCCUGAAAGCCACGCUUGCUUUGCUCAGGACAGAUUUCUCAGCUUCUUUAGAUCUAGGCCUUUUACAAAGCUACCAAGUAAAAUGCAACUUAGAACUUAUGAGUCAGUUUGUGCCAGUUGCGGUCUUAAAG
RNAcentral lists this long non-coding RNA (447 nucleotides) under Equus asinus (donkey). Its description in RNAcentral is "lncRNA (ENSEASG00005031983.1)". The record is from RNAcentral. Lineage: Eukaryota; Metazoa; Chordata; Mammalia; Perissodactyla; Equidae.